CAGUAGCCACGGUAAUACAGAGGGUGCGAGCGUUAAUCGGAUUUACUGGGCGUAAAGCGUGCGUAGGCGGCUUCUUAAGUCGGAUGUGAAAUCCCUGAGCUUAACUUAGGAAUUGCAUUCGAUACUGGGAAGCUAGAGUAUGGGAGAGGAUGGUAGAAUUCCAGGUGUAGCGGUGAAAUGCGUAGAGAUCUGGAGGAAUACCGAUGGCGAAGGCAGCCAUCUGGCCUAAUACUGACGCUGAGGUACGAAAGCAUGGGGAGCAAACAGGAUUAGAUACCCCAGUAGUCCCUGUCUCUAUACA
RNAcentral lists this ribosomal RNA (301 nucleotides) under uncultured bacterium. RNAcentral's name for it is "partial 16S ribosomal RNA". It matches the Rfam family "Bacterial small subunit ribosomal RNA", at positions 509 to 808 of the family's 1533-position model. The record is from RNAcentral.